GAUGAACGCUAGCUACAGGCUUAACACAUGCAAGUCGAGGGGCAGCAUAAAAUCAGCUUGCUGAUUUGAUGGCGACCGGCGCACGGGUGAGUAACACGUAUCCAACCUGGCCUUUACUCAGGGAUAGCCUUUCGAAAGAAAGAUUAAUACCUGGUGGCAUAAAUUGACCGCAUGGUUGAUUUAUUAAAGAUUUAUUGGUAAAGGAUGGGGAUGCGUUCCAUUAGCUUGUUGGUAAGGUAACGGCUUACCAAGGCAUCGAUGGAUAGGGGUUCUGAGAGGAAGGUCCCCCACACUGGAACUGAGACACUGUCCAGACUCCUACGGGAGGCAGCAGUGAGGAAUAUUGGGCAAUGGGGGAAACCCUGACCCAGCAACGCCGCGUGAGGGAAGACGGUUUUCGGAUUGUAAACCUCUGUCCUCUGUGAAGAUAAUGACGGUAGCAGAGGAGGAAGCUCCGGCUAACUACGUGCCAGCAGCCGCGGUAAAAC
This 488-nucleotide ribosomal RNA is filed under the name uncultured bacterium. RNAcentral describes it as "bacterial SSU rRNA". It matches the Rfam family "Bacterial small subunit ribosomal RNA", at positions 28 to 526 of the family's 1533-position model. The record is from RNAcentral.